UACGUAGGGUGCAAGCGUUAUCCGGAAUUAUUGGGCGUAAAGAGCUUGUAGGUGGUUUGUCGCGUCUGCUGUGGAAAAUCCGAGGCUCAACCUCGGACUUGCAGUGGGUACGGGCAGACUAGAGUGUGGUAGGGGAGACUGGAAUUCCUGGUGUAGCGGUGGAAUGCGCAGAUAUCAGGAGGAACACCAAUAGGCGAAGGCAGCUCGCUGGGACGUUACUGACACUGGAGGCGCGGAAAAGCGUGGGGGAGCGAAACAGG
RNAcentral lists this ribosomal RNA (260 nucleotides) under uncultured bacterium. RNAcentral's name for it is "partial 16S ribosomal RNA". It matches the Rfam family "Bacterial small subunit ribosomal RNA", at positions 524 to 776 of the family's 1533-position model. The record is from RNAcentral.